RNAcentral lists this ribosomal RNA (229 nucleotides) under uncultured bacterium. Its description in RNAcentral is "partial 16S ribosomal RNA". It matches the Rfam family "Bacterial small subunit ribosomal RNA", at positions 568 to 796 of the family's 1533-position model. The record is from RNAcentral.
UGCGUAGGCGGGGCAAUUAGUCAGUGGUGAAAUCCUGCGGCUUAACCGUAGAAUUGCCAUUGAUACUGUUGUCCUUGAGUAUAGUUGAAGUGGGCGGAAUAUGUAAUGUAGCGGUGAAAUGCAUAGAGAUUACAUAGAACACCAAUUGCGAAGGCAGCUCACUAAGCUAUCACUGACGCUGAGGCACGAAAGCGUGGGGAGCGAACAGGAUUAGAUACCCUGGUAGUCC